RNAcentral lists this transfer RNA (74 nucleotides) under Hyphomicrobiales bacterium. Its description in RNAcentral is "tRNA-Gln". It matches the Rfam family "tRNA". From Rfam's summary of the family: Transfer RNA (tRNA) molecules are approximately 80 nucleotides in length. Their secondary structure includes four short double-helical elements and three loops (D, anti-codon, and T loops). Lineage: Bacteria; Pseudomonadati; Pseudomonadota; Alphaproteobacteria; Hyphomicrobiales. The record is from RNAcentral. RNAcentral also lists the same sequence under 1 other name.
UGGGGGAUCGUCUAAUGGUAGGACAGCGGAUUCUGACUCCGCCAGUCUAGGUUCGAAUCCUAGUCCCCCAGCCA